This 318-nucleotide long non-coding RNA is filed under the name Salmo salar (Atlantic salmon). RNAcentral describes it as "lncRNA (ENSSSAG00000083633.1)". Lineage: Eukaryota; Metazoa; Chordata; Actinopteri; Salmoniformes; Salmonidae. The record is from RNAcentral.
ACAGGGUAUUACGGUACAGAGUCAAUGUGGAGGCUAUAUACAGGGGGUACUGGUACAGAGUCAAUGUGGAGGCUAUAUACAGGGGGUACCGAUACAGAGUCAAUGUGGAGGCUAUAUACAGGGGGUACCGGUACAGAGUCAAUGUGGAGGCUAUAUACAGGGGGGUACAGGUACAGAGUCAAUGUGGAGGCUAUAUACAGGGGGUACCGGUACAGAGUCAAUGUGGAGGCUAUAUACAGGGGGUACCGGUACAGAGUCAAUGUGGAGGCUAUAUACAGGGGGUACCGGUACAGAGUCAAUGUGGAGGCUAUAUACAGG